Molecule: long non-coding RNA, 662 nt
Organism: Triticum dicoccoides
Lineage: Eukaryota; Viridiplantae; Streptophyta; Magnoliopsida; Poales; Poaceae
Exons: 2
Source: RefSeq, a predicted model, not a curated record
GAACAAAAAUGUGAUUAAUUCAGCAUGUUUAUGAAGAAUGUUGAAUAUUUUUGUGCAUUAGCUUCUGCUGGGAUUUUUUUGGUCGAUUUGUACCCAUUGGUCCAUUAUGGUGGUGAUCCUCUCUCCACUUUUUAGAACCAAAAUGUGAUUAAUUCGGCAUGCUUAUGAGGAAUGUUGAAUAUUUUUGUGCAUUAGCUGCUGCUGGGAUUUUUUGGUUGAUUUGUACCCAUUGGUCCAUUAUGGUGGUGAUCCUCUUUACUUUAUUGGCUGAAUAAGCUUGAUCUUGGACUAAUCGUGUAUAUUGGAACAUACAAGACUCAUGUCAAAUUAGUUAAGUUGAUAUCAAAUACAUUUGUGGCAUGCUCCAUUAGUGGUUUAUACUUGAAAUGUGGCUUGUCAUUUUUAGUAAAUAUUACAUUAUCAAAGUUGUUUCAUGCAUGCUGCUGGUAACUGUAUACUCUCCUAACAGUUUUAUUACUUGUUGUAUGCAGGCUGACUGGAGCCUAUUUUUUCCUUAAAAAUCCUAUUUUUUGAUAUCAGGUGCUCAUUGAGCUGUCUAAGAACAAGCAGAUCAUCAUUUCACCAUUUUCGGCUGCCCCAGAUGCUGGCCUUUAUUCUUCAAAAGUUGGGUGUACAGAAGUUGUAGCAAGAAGAAUCCUGAA